UUAUUGACCUGGCAGGGGAAAAACCAUGAUGAAGGACACUUUCUUAUGGCAAGGUUUCUCCAUUGCACUGUGGAUGUGCUAAUCCCUGCAAUUUACCCAAAUGCAGGAAACUGGACUGCAUAUUUUGUGGUGGGGGAGGGACUGUUUUCACUCUACCUCAA
This is a small nuclear RNA of Jaculus jaculus (lesser Egyptian jerboa), 161 nucleotides long. Its record names the gene U1. It matches the Rfam family "U1 spliceosomal RNA". From Rfam's summary of the family: U1 is a small nuclear RNA (snRNA) component of the spliceosome (involved in pre-mRNA splicing). Its 5' end forms complementary base pairs with the 5' splice junction, thus defining the 5' donor site of an intron. The record is from Ensembl. Lineage: Eukaryota; Metazoa; Chordata; Mammalia; Rodentia; Dipodidae.